GUCACAAGGUCACAUUCUUCAUUCACGAUAGGGCUGGCCGGCCGGGGACCUCUGUGUGUGUGGACGGGUCACGUCUCGUGUACCACGCGGUGCUUGGCCUUGUUUGGAAUAUUUGAAACGGAAAUCCCGAGGUGGCGCGAGGCAAGCAAACAUCCCCCACUCGAACAAGGGAGGGGAUCAGACGAUCAGUAGAGAGCCGAGCAACGCCCACAAUCUCGCGAAUCCGCUUCACCCGGCAUGGCAGCGGCGGCGCUGUACAAGGACGCGGCGGCGCCGGUGGAGGCGCGGGUGCGCGACCUGCUGGGCCGCAUGACGCUGCGGGAGAAGGCGGCGCAGAUGGCCCAGAUCGAGCGCACCGUCGCGUCGCCCCGCGCCAUCGCCGAGCUCGGCGCCGGCAGCGUCCUCAACGGCGGCGGGAGCGCCCCGCUCCCCCGCGCCUCCGCCGCCGACUGGGCCCGCAUGGUCGACGGCAUGCAGCGCCACGCCCUCUCCUCCCGCCUCGCCGUCCCCAUCCUCUACGGCACCGACGCCGUCCACGGCCACAACAACGUCUACGGCGCCACCGUCUUCCCCCACAACGUCGGCCUCGGCGCCACCAGGGACGCGGAGCUCGCGCGUAAGAUCGGCGAGGCGACGGCGCUCGAGGUCCGAGCUACCGGCAUCCACUGGACCUUCGCGCCCUGCGUCGCCGUUUGUAGGGAUCCGAGGUGGGGGAGGUGCUACGAGUGCUACAGCGAGGACACAGAGGUCGUGCGCUCGUUGACCACCAUCGUCUCCGGCCUGCAGGGGCAGCCACCGGCUGACCACCCUCAUGGUUACCCGUUCCUCUCAUCCCCUAGGGUGAAUGUGCUUGCUUGCGCCAAGCAUUUCGUUGGGGAUGGUGGCACGGACAAGGGGAUCAAUGAGGGAAACACCAUUUGCUCACUUGAAGAUUUGGAAGGGAUCCAUAUCAGACCUUAUCCUGAUUGUAUAUCUCAAGGGGUGGCAACUGUCAUGGCGUCCUACACCCAAUGGAACGGGGAACCAUUGCACGCAAGCCGCUAUUUGCUGACAGAUGUUUUAAAGGGCAAGUUAGGCUUCAAGGGUUUUGUGGUGUCAGAUUGGGAGGGUAUUGACAGGCUCUGUGAGCCCAGAGGUUCUGAUUAUCGCUAUUGCAUCGCGCAGUCUGUUAAUGCAGGAAUGGAUAUGAUUUGAGAAGUUUUUGGAAGAUCUUGUGUUCUUGGUAGAGGCAGGGGAGAUACCAAUGUCACGGAUUGAUGAUGCUGUUGAGCGGAUUCUGAGGGUUAAGUUCAUAUCCGGAGUGUUCGAGCAUCCAUUUUCAGAUCCGUCUCUAGCAGAUAUAAUUGGUUGUAAGGAGCAUCGGUUGCUGGCACGUGAGGCUGUUCGGAAGUCUUUAGUACUUCUAAAAAAUGGCAAGAAUCAGAAGGAACCAUUCCUUCCAUUGGCCAAAAAUGUGAAAAGAAUACUUGUAGCUGGAACACAUUCUGACAAUAUUGGAUAUCAGUGUGGUGGGUGGACAAUAGCUUGGAAUGGAGACAGUGGAAGAAUUACUAUUGGUACAACCAUAUUGGAAGCUAUAAAAGAAUCCGUGGGAGCAGAAACUGAAGUUGUGUAUGAGGAAUGCCCAACAGAAGCCACAGUUGAAACUGGGGAAUUUUCCUAUGCAGUUGUUGUGGUUGGUGAGGUUCCAUACGCUGAAUGGUUGGGAGAUAGAACGGAUCUUAGUAUUCCAUUUAACGGCUCCGACCUUAUUUCUCGUAUUGCUAGUAAAGUCCCUACCCUAGUUGUGGUUAUAUCUGGAAGACCAUUGGUUGUUGAACCCCAAGUUCUGGACAAGGUAGAUGCUCUUGUUGCUGCCUGGCUACCUGGAAGUGAGGGUAUGGGAGUUACUGAUUGCCUCUUUGGGGAUCAUGAUUUUUUGGGUACAUUGCCCGUGACAUGGUUUAGGUCUACUGAUCAAUUGCCUAUAAAUGCUAGAGAUGCUAGUGAUGACCCAUUAUUCCCUUUUGGGUAUGGGUUGAAAAUGUUCCGAGGUGAUUAAGUUUUUAGCAUUAAUCAUUGUUGGUUCGGUUAUACAUUUGAAUGCUUAUAUGAAUCUUACACACGCUGUACCAGUUGGCUUUUUGAAUAAUGUAAAAGAGAAAUAAUGUCAUGUUUCAGUAUUGCAGGUGUGCUGUAAGGUGUAAAGCUUGAUUCUUAUAUUUUUCAUAGAGGUUUUAGUUACUCCUUUUCAUUACUUGUCUAUGUUACUAGUUGAAUUUCAGAUAUGUUUCAAUUU
RNA transcript from Oryza sativa Japonica Group (Japanese rice), 2278 nucleotides. RefSeq lists it as uncharacterized. NCBI's taxonomy places the organism in Eukaryota, Viridiplantae, Streptophyta, Magnoliopsida, Poales, Poaceae. The record is from RefSeq and is a predicted model, not a curated record.